CAAACAACCUCUCACACUCACAUUCAUACUUUCACACAAUUUACAGCUGCCACUCAACCUAACAUGCAUAUUUUUGGAAUGUGGGGAAUGUACUCGGAGAAAACCCUCUCACGCACGAGGAGAACAUGCAAACUUCACAUAGUGAUGUCGAACGGCGAUUGAAACCAAGAUCUUCCAGAUCACCUGACUACCGUGUGCGUGUGGCAAAAUUGGUUAUUCAUUUAAAUAAAUGAAUAAUUUCUUAAUUCAUGUAAGUUAUUUAUUUAUUUAUUUUAAACCCUGAAGUAUAUUAGUAUAGUAGUACAGAGCUGCUGUAACUGGCAGCCACUCAAGCGGCGCCAUUUUGAAAAAAAAAAAAAAAUAUUGAGGUAAUACACAACAACAGAAAAAUAGGACAAAAUUAUAUAAGUGAAAAUGGUAUUUUAAACAAUAAAAACCAAAAUAAGUAAAAUAAUGAAACCAUUCAAAUAAAUGAUACAUUAUUAAGAACUACUUUAAGAAUGAAAAUUGUAUUCACAAUUCACACAUGGCUCUGAUCAGUCACCGCUUCAACAGACAAACAUUACCUCAAAUGACUGUAUCCAAAGUAUUGAUAUUUUGAUUUGAGAAUUGAUUUCAGAGCAUGAGGAGCUGGUAUCCGAAGUAUUGAUAUUUCAGUAUCGAUCUGCACAUCACGAGUUCACAAUCCUGUCCCGGCAGUGUGGUAUACCCUUUCACACAGGCGCUAUCUUGUCGUCUUCUACUACCUCUAGAGGCAGAAAAUUGUCCGGUCGACUUCAUCACACCGACAUGGAAAAAAGGUGGCAAAUCGUCAAUCCCACAUUCUGUGUGAGGGCCUUUUAUAUAGACCAGCAACACAGCAAAAAGUAAAAAAGAAAAAAAAAAGCUGACUUUUACAGGCAGUAUGAAAGGGUCUGAUAUUUGUAUUAACAAUUUGUUUUCAGUGUCAUUUACACAAGACUGGUUUAACUAAGACCCUUAAGAACUGUGUCAUUUCACUUGUUCGCUUUUGCAACAUUGGAGGCACAUUGCUUGUGUUAUUGUUCACAUCUAAACACGGAAAAAAGAUCUUCUACGAAAAAUUCAGAUGCCCGUUGUCAAGUGCUUUUUGUUUUUGAAUGUAUGGCUCUCAAAAUCACACUUCUCCAGUAAAGUGUACAUUUCCUGUGACCAGCAGAGACACAUUACUUCCAUAACUCAAAUAUGUUUUGGGGUAGGUUCUUUCUGCUGCUCUGCGUGACCAAACUUGGCAACAUCUGCAGGUGAAACUUUGAGGGAAAAAAAGCAUUAUAUUCUGAACAUUGUUUGCCUUUUCCAUCUUUUUCUUUAUGACAGUGACAACUCACUGCGGGUAUACAGUAGAACACCCCCAACCCAUGCCACCCUUCUUUUUCUAUCAGCACGGUACAACCCUCUAGGUAAGACAAUAAAGCCAAGACCACCAAGGAUGGAUUUUGCCAACAGCUUCACAGGAUGCCUGCGGUGCCUUUGGACACAAGCGAACAAAGACACAAAAGGAACCCAGUGAGAAAGCACUGCUCUGCUGGAAGUCUGCAAUCGCUAUCAGCUUCCUUUGGAAUGACAACAUAGAGAAGACGAAUUUGAGGGAUGCUGGGACGGUGAAGAAUAAGAAAAAGGGCUUGGGGAUGUGGACUUCUGUACAGUACUUCACUGCCUUGGCACUACUGCCCUCAUAUGGACAUCGAAGUUGGUCAGUUUUAGGUUCAGCAUCAUUAUGUCCCCAAAGAAUGAGGUCUGCUGACUACCUCAAUAUCCUAAAUGACCAGGUGAGUCCAUCAAUGCAUUCUUUCCUCCAUGAUGGCACACAGGUAUAUCCCAAGAUGGCAAUGCCAGGAGUCAUCCGGCUCAAAUUGUGAAAGCGUGGUUCACAAUUUUACUGUGUGAUCUUUUUUUUUGGCAAGGCAAUGUGCUUUAAAUAGAAUUAUUUAUCAAUUAUCAAGAAGCGUGAAGCUUUUCAGCAUAUUCUAGAAAUCAUCUCCCAAACAGGGCUGCAUGGUGGUCUAACGGUUAGCAUGUUGGGCAACACAGUAACAGUCUGGAGUUUGGGUUCGAUUCUCCCUUGGGUAUUUCUGUGUGGAGUUUGCAUGUUCUCCCUGUAUGUGCAUGGGUUUUCUCUGGGUACUCCGGUUUCCUCCCACAUCCAAAAACAUGCAUGUUAGGUUAAUUGGCGACCCAUAGGUAUGACUGUGAGUGUGAAUGCUUGUUUGUCUAUAUGUGCCCUGCGAUUGGCUGGUUACCAGUCCAGGGUUUACCCCGCCUGUCGCCUGAAGUCAGCUGCAAUAGGCUCCAGCGUGCCCCCAUGACCCUAAUGAGGAGAAGCGGUAUCGAAAAUGGAUGGAUGGAUCUCCCAAACAUACUACCAGUGUCUGGAAAAUGCAUUCAUCAAGCAGUGGUGCAGGAAGAAGCAUUCAGGUGUGGCUGUGAGCUUCGCUUAAGUGAAGAAUGCUGAGAUGGCUGUGAGAUACAAAGAAUAAGAUUCAUCACGACAACCGUCGUAUACAGCUGUUACUGCGCAUGCCCCUCCCCCACCGAAUCCGGAAGAAGUCAGAAGAGCCCUUUGGUUCACACUGAUAUCUUCAUCUAAUACACUGGAA
Dunckerocampus dactyliophorus (ringed pipefish) is the source of this 2615-nucleotide long non-coding RNA. RefSeq lists it as uncharacterized. The transcript has 5 exons. Lineage: Eukaryota; Metazoa; Chordata; Actinopteri; Syngnathiformes; Syngnathidae. The record is from RefSeq and is a predicted model, not a curated record.